Long non-coding RNA from Scomber japonicus (chub mackerel), 325 nucleotides. RefSeq lists it as uncharacterized. NCBI's taxonomy places the organism in Eukaryota, Metazoa, Chordata, Actinopteri, Scombriformes, Scombridae. The transcript has 3 exons. The record is from RefSeq and is a predicted model, not a curated record.
UGGAGGAGCAAGAGAGGAGGUGGAGAAAGAGGUGAAGAAAGAAGAGGAAGAGAAAGAGGUGACGAAAGAGGAGGAGGUAAAGGAGGAGGAGGAGAAAGAGGUGAAGAAAGAGGAGGAGGAAGAGGAGGAGAAGCAGGAGGAAGAAUCAGAAUCCAGCAGAGCAGCAGAGGAGACAGCAGACGCUCAUCUGGAGGACGAUGAGGAGGAACCAGACUUCCCAGUAGAUCUGGAGAACUGCAUCACUCUGGAUGAAGUGGAAGAGUCUGAUGAGCCGGUUACUGAAGGAGAAGAAGAACAAGAGGAAGAAGGCAGAAAUGAACCGGAG